CCCCUAGAUGUUCUGGGCCGCACGCGCGCUACACUGAACAGUUCAACAAGUCUUAACCUUGGCCGAUAGGUCUGGGUAAUCUUUGAACGCUGUUCGUGACUGGGAUAGACCUUUGCAAUUAUGGGUCUUCAACGAGGAAUUCCUAGUAAACGCAAGUCAUCAGCUUGCAUUGAUUACGUCCCUGCCCUUUGUAUACACCGCCCGUCGCACCUACCGAUUGAAUGGUCCGGUGAAAUCUCGGGACGGCGGCUUGGUCGCUUGCGUCCGACUGCUGAAACUUGAUUAAACCAUAUCAUUUAGAGGAAGGUGAAGUCGUAACA
RNAcentral lists this ribosomal RNA (320 nucleotides) under uncultured eukaryote. Its description in RNAcentral is "partial 18S ribosomal RNA". It matches the Rfam family "Eukaryotic small subunit ribosomal RNA", at positions 1470 to 1796 of the family's 1831-position model. The record is from RNAcentral.